This 374-nucleotide ribosomal RNA is filed under the name uncultured organism. RNAcentral describes it as "partial 16S ribosomal RNA". It matches the Rfam family "Bacterial small subunit ribosomal RNA", at positions 527 to 896 of the family's 1533-position model. The record is from RNAcentral.
GGAGGGUGCGAGCGUUGUUCGGAAUCAUUGGGCGUAAAGCGCGUGUAGGCGGCUUGGUAAGUCGGGUGUGAAAGCCCGGGGCCCAACCCCGGAACUGCACUCGAUACUGCCUCGCUAGAGUCCCGGAGAGGAGAGCGGAAUUCCCGGUGUAGAGGUGAAAUUCGUAGAUAUCGGGAGGAACACCAGUGGCGAAGGCGGCUCUCUGGACGGUGACUGACGCUGAGACGCGAAAGCGUGGGGAGCAAACAGGAUUAGAUACCCUGGUAGUCCACGCCGUAAACGUUGGGUGCUAGGUGUCGCGGGUAUUGACCCCCCUGCGGUGCCGCCCGCUAACGCAUUAAGCACCCCGCCUGGGGAGUACGGUCGCAAGGCUA